This 4444-nucleotide unclassified non-coding RNA is filed under the name Hevea brasiliensis (rubber tree). Lineage: Eukaryota; Viridiplantae; Streptophyta; Magnoliopsida; Malpighiales; Euphorbiaceae. The record is from RNAcentral.
GACAAAAUGAAGCACGUUGAUUGUGCAUUACAUCAGCAAUUGAAGGGUUAGACCCAAACAUAACUACUACCACACAAAAUAUACAAAACCCUGCAAGCCAGAUGAGAGGAGAUGAUACAAAGUGACACUACAUAGAGAUUUGUUUUGUUAUCAGUAUUACCACAUAAACACAAGGGAAUGAAAUAACUUAGCAAAAUAUAAAAAAAAUAAACAUAAUUAGCUUUAACCUGAUGGGUAUUAAAAUGUUUGUAGAACUGCAAAGUCUUGAGUUCAAACCUCAAUCGAAGCUUAAUGGACCAAAAAAAUACAUCAUUGUUCCGAAAACAGGCUGUCCAGUUUAACACAUCCCAAUCUUAAAUACACAAUGUAUAACAUGCUAUAGAAAACAAUUUUGGAGACAGAAAAUGGAACCAUUUUGCAACAUCUGCCAGAAGUAGAUUAUAUUUGCAGCAAUGAGCCUCUUGAGCAACCAAAUAGAAGAGGUUAGAAUGAAAAUCCCACAAGUUUGGAUUCUUCUCUUUGGCUUUUAUAAACUUGAGACAUUAGCUCAAACACAAUCAGUAUGCCUUGUGUAGCUUCAAGUGAGAAGCAUAUUUCAUCAUCCAUCAGAUCAUGCCUCAGCCAGUUUUAAACGAGGAACAAUAUUCAUCGAUUGCAGUUCCUGAAUUAAGAGCUUGCAUGCAUAUGGCAGUUUCAUAGUAGAAAUGUUAUCCCCAUUUUUACAGGUAGAACAAAUCCCAGUCCUCAGUUUCUGAUUGAAAUAACCUAACAAACCACAAACUCUACAAACCUGAACUUCAAAAGGAUCACUAGAAAUCAUUAGGCGCUCAUAAAGUAACAUGCUAGCACCAUAAGCAAUCAAACAAUCACGUUCCAUUUCUCCUACUCGAAGUCCUCCAUUUCGAGCUCUCCCUUCAGUAGGUUGUCUGGUUAACAUGACACGAGGUCCAUUACCUCGAGCGUGCAUCUUAUCUAAGACCAUAUGUUUUAACUUCUGGUAGUAAAUUGGCCCCAUAAAAAUAUACGCUUGUAGUGGACAACCUGUAAUACCUGAAUAAAUGAAGUCCUUGCCAUUGUAGCUAAAGCCAUGAUUAACAAGCGUGUCACUUAUAGCUUCAACUGUGUCUGCAUGACCACUUGGUUCUCCAAAAGCACUACCAUAAUGAAAUCUACCACAUGAAACCCCAGCUUUUCCCCCAAGAAGUUCUAUCAUCUUUCCAACAGUCAUUCGACUUGGAAAUCCAUGAGGAUUCAUAAUCAAAUCAGGGCAUAUGCCACGUUCAGAAAAAGGGAAAUCUUCCUGUUGAAUGAUUGUUCCACAAACACCUUUCUGCCCAUGUCUGCUACUAAAUUUGUCACCAACCUCUGGUCUACGAGUAUGGCGAAUUAUAAAUUUGAUAGAUAGAUUGUUAUUCCUAUCUGAACUAAGAGCAACUCUAUCAACCACACAUGACUCCCCUUCAGGACCUUUGAAUAUACUUUUGUUAGGCCGAUAUUUGAUGUCUGCUAAUGCUGAAGCAGAUUUUAACUGCCCUCUUGUUUCCACUGGGGAUUCCUUAUUGAUGUAGAUAUCAUUAGGUCUAAUAAUUUCCCCAGGUGAAGCAAGUCCAUCAUCAUCCAACACCCUCUCCCUUUCUUCUGUCCUUGGUGGCCUUAAUAUUCUAUCAGCUGCACCAUUUUCAUACUUAUAAUUGACGGUGUCAGAAUACUUUUUCAUAACAAUACAACGUCCAAAACCACGAUCCAAAGAUGCCUUGUUCAUGACUAUUGCAUCCUCUAUGUCAUAGCCACUAUAACUCAUCACAGCAACAGUUGCAUUCUGACCAGCCCCAAGCUUAUCAUAACCAACCAGUUCAAUUGUCCUUGUUGUCAAUAGAGGCCGUUGAGGAUACACCAACAGAUAAAGUAAUGAGUCCAUCCGAAAUAACUGGUUGUAUGCAAUGUUUCCCAUAGCUUGCUUCCCCAUAGCACACUGAUAUGUAUUUCUUGGUGACUGAUUAUGAUGAGGAAAUGGUAUUAGCCCAGCACAAACACCUAAGAUGGUGAAAGGUUCUAUCUCAAUAUGGGUUGUCUCUGGUGCGGCCUCCCCUUCAUAGAGAGCAAUCAGAGCAUUGUUCUCCUCAUUGACAUCAAGAUAUUCAAUCAAUCCCUCGCGUAAGAAGUCGUCAAAAGUACGGACACCAUCCAGCAACUCUUUCAUAUGGUGCUCUUUAAUCCUUGAUACACCUUUGUCUGCAAUAACUAGCGGACGACAAACUCGACCUCCAUCCGAAGCAAUAUAUACAGCACACUGACAAAUAUUUAUACUCUCGCAAGAUCAGCUAUUUACUUAAACCUCAUAAGCCCAAAAAUAACAAAGUUAAUUAGACCGUAAUAAAGAAAUUUCUCUUUCUUUCCUCUAUUUCUUUACAAUUGACAAUUGUUAUACACAAUUGGAGGCUAAACGUUACAGCCAGAAGCUCCACGGAAUUGUUUAUUGUGAUUGUUAUUGUAUUUCUUAAUUGACCCCUUCAAGAAAAUUGUUUUAAAUCCAGGCAAAGAUAAGAUUUAAGAGUAUCCAACCACUCAAAUCCAAGACUUAAUCAUAUACUCAUCCUUAUGUGACUAGAAUUUCUUCAUCAAGUCAGCAGAAUUUUGAUUUCUAUAGCUCUAUGUUAGAAACUCACCCUACUUGUCACUAUUAUAUUAAGUUCUCUUGUUAUUGCUGAUUGGACAGCCAAAGAUGGUUAGAAUCCAGUUUUGCUGGGAUUAAUAUACUUAUUUAUUGGUUCUUUUUUACUCCCAUGUUAGGAAACUGAUUGCCACUUUGUAAUCAUCUUCUUGUUAGUAUUUACCUCCACAUUCAGAUUUAGAUCUCAGACUUUUUCAUCUAUAAUUUAAACUGUAACCACUCCUAUAUUAGAACCACAUAGCAAAAGGCAAGGCACAUUAUACAUUUCAAAUAUACAAGUGCAAACUUUUUAUUUUGACAUUGUAUUUCGAAGAUGUGGCACAAGAAAGUACCUGCUUCUCAUUCACAAAUACACUUACAAACUCGCCAAUUUUGCCAGCUCUUCGCAGCCUUCUCAUUGCAGCAGCAAAAUGAUGUGGCCUCCUGUGCUUGCCAAGAAUCAGCCCGUUAAAUAUAACUAGAUAAGAAUUUGGUAAGUGAAGCUCUUCCCCAGAAAGACGUUCCAAGUCUUCAACACCCAAACAAUAACACAAAGAAAUUAAUGGACCCUCCUCUUCAUCGGUUGUAACAUGAGUCAUCAGGGCCAAGUUCUUCACCAGUCCACAAGCUUCACCUUCUGGAGUAUCACAAGGGCAAAGCAUGCCCCACUGGCUUGGUUGCAAUGCUCUAGGUCCACUCACUUUCCUAGACUUCUCAAAUUGUGGUGAAAUUCUUGUCAUGUGGCCCAAAGAUGAAAUAAAGGAUAAUCUAGCCAACACCUGUGUCAUGCCUUUCCUGUGCAUCUUAAACCGUUUGACAUCAAAGUUGCCAGUAGAAAGUGUCCUUUCUAGCCCAUUAGUAAUGCUAUCUCUGACAAGAUAUUGGGAAAGGUCAAACCGACUAGAUCGGUUUUGCUUUGUUAACACAUUAUCAAUUGUUCUCUGAACCUCAGUGAUCAUAGUCUUAAACAGAUCCUCAAAAAGCAGAGAAAUUAACUGGCCAGAUAGCUCCAAUCUCUUGUUACCCACAUAAUCCUUAUCAUCCAUUGCAUCCUUGUUUAACAUAGCCUCCAUCAUCCUCCGCAACAUUACCGCAACAUACAAACAUUUUGGACGAAAAUUAUUUUUAUGCACCGGAACAUUAGCAAGAAACACAUCUCGAAGUAUACCCAAAGCUCUAUUUUCCUUAGCAGAUGAAUAACUGGCAUAUGUAGACACCUUCACCUUUCCUUCAAGGUACUCCAAAGCAUUUUUUUGCGUGUAUAUAUUCAGACCUGCGCAUUCCUCAAUAGAUGGCAAGAGUAGGGCACCAUAUCGAGGAUCUCUUCCCAACAUCUGUACAACCUCUUGAUCACUCUCCAUGCCCAUAGCCUUGAUUACCACCAUAAUAGGAAUCUUCUUUGCAAAUUGAUUGAGACAUAAAUAAAUCUUCUCCUUUUCCAUCUGAAUGACUGUUUUGCUUUUUGUUGCUUCUGUGCUGCUUGUAACAGAUGCAUUUAUGCUGAAAACAGAGAGCAAACAAAGGAGUCCAACACAUGAAGCACAAACCAAUUCAGGAAGAGAAAAUAACAAUAUCAACUAAAAAACGUCAUUCGGAAUGGCCAAAACAUUGCCAAAAACACCAUUGCAGGAAUAAGACCAUCCUGCUAACAAAAAUAAACAUGGAAGAUACCUGUAGGAUAUCAUGAUGUAAAAAGAAAAAAGAAAAAAAAAAUAGACAUAAGAGGAACUCACUUUCCCUUCUUAUCAGUAUCAAUAAUUAUUCUAUUCUUUGAAAGUUGCUCUUGAAUUAAAA